CGAACGCUGGCGGCGUGGAUUAGGCAUGCAAGUCGAACGGAGUUCCUAGCUGUUUCGGGAACUUAGUGGCGAAAGGGUGAGUAACACGUGGGUAACCUGCCCUAGGGUUUGGGAUAACCCGUCGAAAGACGGGCUAAUACCGAAUACGUUCCAUCAUUGAUUAUGAUGGAGGAAAGAUGGGGAUCUCUUCGGAGACCUGUCUCCCUUGGAUGGGCCCGCGGCCUAUCAGCUUGUUGGUGAGGUAAAAGCUCACCAAGGCUAAGACGGGUAGCUGGUCUGAGAGGAUGGUCAGCCACACUGGGACUGAGACACUGCCCAGACACCUACGGGUGGCUGCAGUCGAGAAUCUUUCGCAAUGGGGGAAACCCUGACGAAGCGACGCCGCGUGCAGGAUGAAGGCCCUCGGGUUGUAAACUGCUGUCAGCUGGGAAGAAACAGUGCGAAGGUAAUACUUUCGUGCUCUGACGGUACCAGCAGAGGAAGCCACGGCUAACUCU
This 497-nucleotide ribosomal RNA is filed under the name uncultured bacterium. RNAcentral describes it as "bacterial SSU rRNA". It matches the Rfam family "Bacterial small subunit ribosomal RNA", at positions 30 to 504 of the family's 1533-position model. The record is from RNAcentral.